ACAUAAAUCGUCCAUUCAUAGAAUGGACCGAAAGUGGACAAAGCCACUAGUUCGAAUGGUCCGUUCAUUUUCGUAAGCGUCAAACAUAGAAACUUUCAAAGAGUCGAAGCUCGAAGGUUAGGGUUCAGCGCCUCUGCACCUCCAUCGUUCCAUCCUCAGUAUCACCGGCAGACGGCGGUAUUUCGUUUGAAGCUUUGGACGAACUCCGGCCGUAUUUCCCUUUCUCCGUCGAUCUUCCUUUUACCCUCUCACUUUCUCCAACAACAGAGCUUCUUCUUCUCUCAGCGCCUCCUCACCUUCUCUAGUGACAGCAGUACAACACUCUCUCUUCUCUCAAUGCCCUCUCACUUUCUCCAGCGGCAACAACACUCCCUCUUCACUCAGGCAAUCAUAUUUUGGUGAUUUUUUUCUCUUGCAUCUUGCUCUCAAGUGAUAGUCUCAUCUGACCUCUACGAUUUGUUCAUUGAGGUAUUUGCUCAACCUCUAUUCAGGUUUGUGGAAAACCGGUGCAUCACCCACUGACUGGCAAAUGGAUCCAUAACAUCGGAACAUGUCGUAAGAAUUCCUUUAAUGGAAAAUACUACAUCAACUUCUUUCGGGUGGUUUGGAGAAUGGUUUAUGUGGUUUCAGAAUUUUUAUUCUCUGGUUGCAGCUGUUCAUCCAUCCUCUUGAUGGUACUUGAUCAAAUGGCUAAGUUGGUGAAGUCCACCAAGUGUUGCACCAGGAAUAUGGUCCUGCUAAUAUGAACAAUUUCUUUAGGAAAUGAUAUUUUUUUUGGUGUUUGAUUGCAGAUGGAGAUGGAAACCAUUUUGUUUAUUUUCUGAGGAAUUAGGGAAAUAGUUAAUUCCUUAUUGAGUAUUAUUUUCGGAGGAAAACAUUUUGUUUCCCUUCAUCAUUUUAGUUGUAACCAAAACUGGAAUAGUGUAACUCAUUGUUUGCUGAUUCAGAAAGGAGAAUUUUCUCAGUGAAGUAAUUCACAAUCA
Nelumbo nucifera (sacred lotus) is the source of this 983-nucleotide long non-coding RNA. RefSeq lists it as uncharacterized. Lineage: Eukaryota; Viridiplantae; Streptophyta; Magnoliopsida; Proteales; Nelumbonaceae. The record is from RefSeq and is a predicted model, not a curated record.